Molecule: RNA transcript, 1098 nt
Organism: Panicum virgatum (switchgrass)
Lineage: Eukaryota; Viridiplantae; Streptophyta; Magnoliopsida; Poales; Poaceae
Exons: 4
Source: RefSeq, a predicted model, not a curated record
GCCCCGAGAGGCCGGGGCCGUCGCCGCGCCGCCCAAAUCCACCGCCGAAAGAGAAGAAAAAACCUUCGCAAAAAAAAAGAAAGAAGAAAAAAAAAGUCCCCCACUCUCUCCCGUGAAGAUGGCCUCGAGCUCCAGCAGCGGCGUUGGGGCGGAAGGCGGGGUCGGCGAGGGUCCGACGACGCUGGACGAGCUGUACCAGAUCAACGUGGUGCCGGCGGAGCUGCACUUCAAGUUCCGCAAGGAGCUCCAGGGCCUCCGCGUCGGCCUCAACCUCGAGUUCUUCAAUCUUGAGGUGAAUGAUUUUGAGGCGAAGGUAGUACUGAAGCCUCUAGAUUACGACCGGAAGUGGAAAUUCCAGUACAAGCCCAUCAAUGGUGACAUACAGCUGCUCUCCAAGAAGAUACCAGUUACAAAGUUUCUAAAUCUACAGGUUGGCAUCGGUCACAAUUUUCAUCUGAAUGCAACUGGAUGGAAAUGGAAGCUUUCCACUUGUCUUGGGGGAGAUGGUGUCUCUCAGAUAAGAAAUAAGUCUAAAAUCAGCAUGUUCCCAGGGUUUGAUUUGAGGAUUGGAUGGAGAGCUGAAUAUGUGCUUCCUGAGAUUCAUGGGUGAGUCUGGGUCAACGCUAACACUACUUAAAUUGCUUGACCAUUAGAAGCAUUCAUGCAGGAUCCUAGACUCAUCCAUAAAAAACCUACUACAUGAGGAACAUUUGAAGGCUCUUGGCACAGGAGAACCUGCCUUCAGUAUGAACUAUGGGCGGCUGCAUGCAUCGAUAGAUCGGUUAGAGGCCGUCGUUACCCAGUCAGAUCGGUACUGACCUUCCAUGGUGGAAGUCAAAAGGCAAGAGAGUUUCUUGAUCAACAGCAAACCUGCAAUGAUCUCACCCAGAUCCUAGGGUUUAUUAGGAGCAUUUUGAAGCUCCGUGUAUGAUGUACAGCAAUAGCAAACGUUCACGCUAGGACAACUUUGAGAAGCAUCUUGAGAUUCUCCAAACCCUAGGGCGGCUUUUCUUGUUUCUGAAAGCAUAUAACGAAAUAAUGUUCGAACUACUUGUGUUUGGCACUUAGGACGUUUAUCAAAGAACAUGCUCGCAUACA